This 484-nucleotide ribosomal RNA is filed under the name uncultured bacterium. RNAcentral describes it as "partial 16S ribosomal RNA". It matches the Rfam family "Bacterial small subunit ribosomal RNA", at positions 28 to 507 of the family's 1533-position model. The record is from RNAcentral.
AUUGAACGCUGGCGGCAUGCUUUACACAUGCAAGUCGAACGGCAGCGCGGGCUCCGGCCUGGCGGCGAGUGGCGAACGGGUGAGUAAUGCAUCGGAACGUGCCCAGUAGUGGGGGAUAGCCCGGCGAAAGCCGGAUUAAUACCGCAUACGACCUGAGGGUGAAAGCGGGGGACCGAAAGGCCUCGCGCUAUUGGAGCGGCCGAUGUCGGAUUAGCUAGUUGGUGGGGUAAAGGCUUACCAAGGCGACGAUCCGUAGCUGGUCUGAGAGGACGACCAGCCACACUGGGACUGAGACACGGCCCAGACUCCUACGGGAGGCAGCAGUGGGGAAUUUUGGACAAUGGGGGCAACCCUGAUCCAGCCAUGCCGCGUGCGGGAAGAAGGCCUUCGGGUUGUAAACCGCUUUUGUUCGGGAAGAAAUCCUCUGGGCUAAUACCCCGGGGGGAUGACGGUACCGGAAGAAUAAGCACCGGCUAACUACGUG